UUAAGCCAGUUCUCAAAUUAUGUGGGUGCUGCUAUGUCAAAAGAGAUGUGAAUUAGCUAUAUUCAGAAAUCUGUGAUUCAGUCUUCCAAAUGUUUGUUUAAAGCUAAGUAUGUUGGUUCUGUUACUUUCCUUUUACUCGCUGAUGUUGUAAGUCUAUAUAAAACUCCAUUCCUUAUAAACUCCAGGGCACAUAUAACAUGAAGGGUAACAGAGCAGUCUGUUAUCCUUCAUAUGUUUCAGCAGCUUUUUGUCCUUAGAAUUUGUUUCUAGCAGGAAAAUAGUCAGAUUUACAGAAAGUAAUUGCUAUAAUCAUUCUUCUUCUGAGGUUUGGUCUCCCAUUUGAUUCUGAGAUUGCUGUUUUCUGUGACUUUUUCUCAGUCAUUGUGAGGAAAGAUGACUUCAAGACAGCUUUAUAAUAGAAAAAAAAUCUUAUAUUUUCCGUUCUUCUUUCAUCAAUAAAGGAUUACAAACACUCCUCAGUGAAUGAGCCAAAGCACUCCAAAGGAGGGACCUAAUUGACUUACAGUCCACAGGGAUGGACUUAGAAGAACUGGAGUUGAAAACUACUCUGUCCAUCCUGGGUGACUUCAUUAUUGAAGCAAUGACCCUGGUGCUGUGAGCUCAGAAUGAUGUGAAAGCCUGGCUUUGGCAAGCAGGACAGCUUGACUUGUAUCUUGGCAAAGCAGGAUCCUCUUGACUCUUUCUGCCUUUGUCCAAGGAUUCAGGUAGGAUCCCUCUCUUGUCCUUCUACUUAUGGGUGUCAGGUAUUAUUUGUCUUUUCUAGUCUCAGGU
This is a long non-coding RNA of Parus major (Great Tit), 792 nucleotides long. RefSeq lists it as uncharacterized. The record is from RefSeq and is a predicted model, not a curated record. Lineage: Eukaryota; Metazoa; Chordata; Aves; Passeriformes; Paridae. The transcript is spliced from 3 exons.